This 253-nucleotide ribosomal RNA is filed under the name uncultured bacterium. RNAcentral describes it as "partial 16S ribosomal RNA". It matches the Rfam family "Bacterial small subunit ribosomal RNA", at positions 524 to 776 of the family's 1533-position model. The record is from RNAcentral.
UACGAAGGGGGCGAGCGUUGUUCGGAAUUACUGGGCGUAAAGGGCGCGUAGGCGGCGACUCAAGUUAGAUGUGAAAGUCCUGGGCUUAACCUGGGGACUGCAUUUGAUACUGGGUUGCUUGAAUUCGGGAGAGGAUAGCGGAAUUCCCAGUGUAGAGGUGAAAUUCGUAGAUAUUGGGAAGAACACCAGUGGCGAAGGCGGCUCACUGGCCCGAUACUGACGCUGAGGCACGAAAGCGUGGGGAGCAAACAGG